This 67-nucleotide transfer RNA is filed under the name Chrysomeloidea sp. 1 KM-2017. RNAcentral describes it as "tRNA-Met". Lineage: Eukaryota; Metazoa; Arthropoda; Insecta; Coleoptera. The record is from RNAcentral.
AAAAAGGUAAGCUAAAUUUAAGCUAGUGGGUUCAUACCCCAUUUAUGAAAUAUAUUUUCCCUUUUUA